AAGUCGUAACAAGGUUUCCGUAGGUGAACCUGCGGAAGGAUCAUUAACACGUAUCCAACGUUAAACAACCCGUGAACCUUCAUGUUUCGUGUCUUACUUUUUAACUUCGAGGGCGUCUGGUAACUCACGUGAACAGAUUGACUCAGACAUUCUUGAAGAAAAAGGGUAAGAUGCUUGUGCAUUAGGUGAGGGCGUCUAACGCUUGUGAGUGGGCAACUAGAUUCCUGUUGGUCUUGGAAAUCGGUGCAGCCACACGCUUCAUCGGACCUCAUCUCAGGGAUAAUCCCCCCUUUCGAUUCACCACCCCCUCCUACGCAAACGCUCGCCGGCAUGGUCCCGCUUGAGCAUUCAAAAAACCGAACAACUGUUAACAAUGGAUAUCUUGGUUCUC
Molecule: unclassified non-coding RNA, 391 nt
Filed under: fungal sp.
Lineage: Eukaryota; Fungi
Description: partial internal transcribed spacer region
Rfam family: Eukaryotic small subunit ribosomal RNA (bases 1-46)
Source: RNAcentral